This 240-nucleotide long non-coding RNA is filed under the name Gossypium barbadense (sea-island cotton). RNAcentral describes it as "long non-coding RNA (GBAR_LNC018138)". The record is from RNAcentral. Lineage: Eukaryota; Viridiplantae; Streptophyta; Magnoliopsida; Malvales; Malvaceae.
GGCAAGAUUAUUAUUUUUUCUAUAUGGGUAUGAUUGAUAUGAUAAAUUGCCUUUUGACAUCGCAUCAAUCAGUGAUAUCCCUAAUAACAUUGAGGGGGUUCUCUUCACUUUCUCUACCGUUAUUUUUAAAUUUCAAUUUUUCCCUUCAUUAUAAUAAAUGACAUAAUUAGAAAAAUUUUCUUGAAUUAUUACAUUAAAUUAAUUCUGUAUAAGGAGAUUAGAACUUAAGUGGGGCCAUUU